Molecule: ribosomal RNA, 468 nt
Filed under: uncultured bacterium
Lineage: Bacteria
Description: partial 16S ribosomal RNA
Rfam family: Bacterial small subunit ribosomal RNA
Source: RNAcentral
GACGAACGCCGGCGGCGUGCUUAACACAUGCAAGUCGAACGGAAAGGCCCUGCUUUUGUGGGGUGCUCGAGUGGCGAACGCGUGAGUAACACGUGAGUAACCUGCCCUUGACUUUGGGAUAACUUCAGGAAACUGGGGCUAAUACCGGAUAGGAGCUCCUGCUGCAUGGUGGGGGUUGGAAAGUUUCGGCGGUUGGGGAUGGACUCGCGGCUUAUCAGCUUGUUGGUGGGGUAGUGGCUUACCAAGGCUUUGACGGGUAGCCGGCCUGAGAGGGUGACCGGCCACAUUGGGACUGAGAUACGGCCCAGACUCCUACGGGAGGCAGCAGUGGGGAAUAUUGCACAAUGGGCGGAAGCCUGAUGCAGCAACGCCGCGUGCGGGAUGACGGCCUUCGGGUUGUAAACCGCUUUCGCCUGUGACGAAGCGUGAGUGACGGUAAUGGGUAAAGAAGCACCGGCUAACUACGUG